AAGUUCACAGAAAAUCAUUAUUACAUUAGUCAGUGUGUUGUAUGUGCUAUUAUUUAGCGUAACUCGAUUGAACUAUUAGAGAGCACCAACGAAACGAGCCGAAGGGAAGAACGAAUGUAUAUGAAAAUUGAGUUGUGAAAAGAAGUGAAAAGUUUCAAGCGUUCAAUUAAACUUUACUAGUUGUGCUACGGUUAGAUAAAAACAAGUUAACCCAUGGUCGAGCAGAAAAGUUAGAGAUAGUCAAACACGAAGGCAGCCUUUACGUGAAUCACGAUUCGAUAUUUUGUGGUAGACUCACUUUAAGUUUUAUUUCGUUAGUUCUCGCAAGCUGAUCAAAAGUCGACGGACCUCGCAGGUGAGUAGGAUACUGCUGCAUAGGACACAUAUUUCUAUGCACAUGGCCCUGUGAUUGUUUGGGCAUAUGGGGAUGUGACGAAAAGAAAACGAUGAACUGUGUUUUUUUUCAAUGUUCUUAUUAAAAAUUUAUAUAAGCGAUUUCUGGGUGAUCCAAGUUAAACUUGGAGCAAUUCUGACACUUUCUCGAAUAGCUCCAAAUGAGCUGUGAAUGAGGUGUCUUUAAAGUUUGUCUAUUUGAGCAAUAGCUUCAAAGGAGCACAGGCACUAAGCCUUCCGUCUGCUCUAUUUAACGGGCAGGUUCGAUAAGUGCGCGGAAUAAAAGGAACGGAUCCGUUCCAGACGUUCCCGGUUAAUGUUUCCCUUAAACAAAUCAACCUGUUUUGACCUGAGCCGAGAAAAAGCUCUUCUGCCCUUAUCAGGUGUAUGUCUCGCAACGAAGCCACUGUAUAUGAAUAACUUUUCUACAAUGCGCUGUCGUCUUCGUCUGCACAUAAGCCAUUAUAGGCCAACUUUGAUACACGUAGGCCAUAUACGAAUUUCUUUGGGAGUUACCGACCGUUAGGGCCCCCUAAUAGCAUAAGUGGACUUCGUUUCGUGCUGGGAACGAGCCAGCCAGCCAGCCAGCCAUCUAUCUGUCUAUCUGAUGGAAUGCCUAACGGCGAUACCGGACGUACAACUCGAAUCAUGAAGGCAACGCCUUGACGGGUGACAUAAUGGCAAUUAUGAGAGACUACUUUCUUUUUGGAGAAAAAUCGUUGGAGGAGAGAGAAGGAUGUUGGAAGGUUAGUCGUUUCCUGAGCAAGUUUUUCCACCAGAGUAAAAUUUUGCCUGUCGCUGAUCAGACUGUUGGCAACGACGUCAAUCGUGGAUGAAACGCGUGCGUUCCUCUAUCAUCUACGCUUGAAGACCGGCCAGCCUACGAUGGUUUACGAUUAUCAAGUUAAGAUCUAUGUUGCGUACCUUUGAAUUGAAUGCAGGAACUGGCAGUGUGGAGGGUAGGAUAUCAACCGCUAAGGCGUUCAUCAUAGGACCCGCAGUUGACAUCAUACUGUCUGAUCUCCUAAUUUAAUUAACGACGAGUUGCUCGUAUGAAAAGGCUAUCGUACAUUUAACACAAGUUUGAUAUUAGAACUGGGUUCAAUUUUGCUGGGUAUGUGUUUUCCGAUAACAAAACUGCCCACACUGUAACAGCUAUUCAGAAGCAAGUGAUUUCAUCAAUAAUCGAUUCUCCAUUAAACAACAGUGUAUCUGUACUGUAGUGUAAAAGUUUUCAAAAAAAAAAAACUCUUCAUCUUCUAUACUUGUAUAUACCUAAUACAUCUGGUUCAUACAGAGCGAUUUCUUUGGUUCAAGAACUUCCUGCUAUAGUGAUGCAGAAGCAUGAAUAACCAGCUAAAAGCUCUGCUCGAAAUACUCGGUUCAUCCAGGAAAGUGGCCAAACGAUUUCAUCAUAUUUUGCGGCUAAUAUACAUACGGCACUGGGUAUGGGUGACGUUACUAUAUUCUUAUAAUAAUCCAUUGCAGAUCGGAGAACAGAUGCUUGGGUAGCUGCAAAACGCGAUUGGAUAUAUAGAUAGGUUUAAAAUUUGUUAGUCACAGUAGUCUUAACCACUCAUAUUGGACCAUUUAAAAGAUUACUACUAGGUUUUGGUUCGUUAAGUUCUUGAUGAUCCAUUCAUAUAGGAAUUAUUUGUUCAUCAUAGGCACAACUCUACAGGCUCUAGCAGGAAACUUCGUUUAGGAAUGGCCCACUGACUCGUAGCGUAAGUGUUGCUGGGCGAAACUUUCGGGUUCGGAAGCGCCUACAUAGCAUCAUGCACGGCACUAUGCUCACCCGAUACUCUCUUUGAUCAAGCACAUCGAUCUUAAGGUUUCAAAAUUUUCGAUCAAACUUUAAAAACCGAAAGCUGUAAAAGAACUGCUAUAGAAUUUUACAUGUCAAAUUUAAAAUUUGCUAUUCUUACUUUUUAUAAACGCUAAUAAAGCUGUUAUAUUAAUUUAGGUUUUACCCGAUGUCUAUUCAAUUUCGAAGAAAUUUCCGCUGGCCUGCCUAGGCGGGUUCAAAAGCAUUCGUUGACCCAUUCGUUGAUUAACGUUAUAAAAUACCGAGGGUGGUUGUUUUGCUGAAAAGUUUUUUCAAGUCAUCCUUUGCUCUUCGUAUGCCUGGUUUAUAACAACAAGAGAAACCUCGUUGAAGUUUACUAAACAGGAUUGAUUGUCGCAUUUAAUAUCGUUGCCUAGGAAGCGACACGACCGAAACAGCCAAGCUCCACUAUCCGAAAUUUAUAUCAUGACCCCGGGUCAGACAUCGAAGGCAAUGUACCUACGGCUAAAGUCCUGAUGCCUCCCUAAAUUCACCCUUCGUCCCAUAUGAAACCGCUGUUCCAGUCUCCGUCGUCUAGGCAUACGUUGUCGGUUGAUGCCAUUUACAAAGCUCGAAAUAGCUAUAUAAGUUUAUACCGUCCUAUCUAGGCCCUCUGGAUAGGACGCUUGUGGCCUUACUAAGACAUGAGCCGACCAGCCAACACGCGGAUGGAUAUAUAAGGCUAAGAUUUCACUAACUUCGCUGAUGCAUGCGACUAGUUGUCAAUGUUCGUGCGAUAGAUACCACCGACAGACGCCACUGCCUUUGUUGAUACGGUAUCCGCGGAAAACAUUGUAAACUUUGUUGUUGUUGUUGUUGUUGUUGUUGUUGUUAUUAUUCG
This is a non-coding RNA of Varroa destructor (honeybee mite), 3062 nucleotides long. The record is from RefSeq and is a predicted model, not a curated record. Lineage: Eukaryota; Metazoa; Arthropoda; Arachnida; Mesostigmata; Varroidae.